AUUGAACGCUGGCGGAAUGCUUUACACAUGCAAGUCGAACGGCAGCACGGGGGCAACCCUGGUGGCGAGUGGCGAACGGGUGAGUAAUACAUCGGAACGUGCCCAAUCGUGGGGGAUAACGUAGCGAAAGCUACGCUAAUACCGCAUACGAUCUACGGAUGAAAGCGGGGGAUCGCAAGACCUCGCGCGAAUGGAGCGGCCGAUGGCAGAUUAGGUAGUUGGUGGGGUAAAGGCUCACCAAGCCGACGAUCUGUAGCUGGUCUGAGAGGACGACCAGCCACACUGGGACUGAGACACGGCCCAGACUCCUACGGGAGGCAGCAGUGGGGAAUUUUGGACAAUGGGCGCAAGCCUGAUCCAGCCAUUCCGCGUGCAGGAUGAAGGCCUUCGGUUGU
This 395-nucleotide ribosomal RNA is filed under the name uncultured bacterium. Its description in RNAcentral is "bacterial SSU rRNA". It matches the Rfam family "Bacterial small subunit ribosomal RNA", at positions 29 to 426 of the family's 1533-position model. The record is from RNAcentral.